Salvia miltiorrhiza (redroot sage) is the source of this 1926-nucleotide RNA transcript. It is a transcript of the gene named fatty acyl-CoA reductase 2, chloroplastic-like, with no coding region annotated. NCBI's taxonomy places the organism in Eukaryota, Viridiplantae, Streptophyta, Magnoliopsida, Lamiales, Lamiaceae. The record is from RefSeq and is a predicted model, not a curated record. The transcript has 10 exons.
GAAAGCAAAAGCUUAUUAAACUUAAACGCAAAAAGAAAAGAAACAAAAAGAAAAGAAAAAUCAUGUCGCUCACUCGAAGUGUAUUUUUCAGCCCUUCGGUGGAAUUUUCUUCAACAAAAUUCAGCAACAAAAGCAAACUUCCUAAUUUGUUUUUUGGUAAUGAAAAGAGCAAGUCAAAAUUAAGAAGCAGUGGGAAAUUGGGCGUCAGCUAUAACGGAUAUCCCUACUUCACCGCUCCCCGCCACCCUCUCGAAUCCGAACUGCCGCCGCGGCUGGCGGAGUGCGGCGCAAUGCCGGAGUUGCAGGCGGAGUUGGACAGCGGGAUAGGGAUCGACAGCUUCUUCGAAGGGAAGAACAUUUUUAUUACCGGUGGAACUGGUCUUCUUGGAAAAACUCUGAUCGAAAAGUUGCUGAGAUCAACAAGUGUGGGUAAAAUAUACGUGCUAGUUAAGGCCAGUGAUAAAGAGGCUGCGCUUGAUAGACUCACAAAAGAAAUUAUGAACUCGGAGUUGUUCGUCUGUUUACGAGAAAAACAUGGUGAAACAUAUGAAGAAUAUGUGAGAUCUAAGUUGAUUCCAAUUGUUGGAAAUAUUUGUGAACCAAAUAUUGGAAUGGAUAUAAACUCCGCAAACAAGAUUAUGGAGGAAGUGGAUGUCAUAGUUGAAUCUGCAGCUAGCACAACGUUGAAUGACAGGUACGAUUUCCUACUUGAUAUAAACGUGAAUGCGCCUCUACGGCUUAUGAGGUUCGCCAAGAAGUGCAAGAAUCUGAAGCUUUUUGUGCAUAUUUCCACAGCAUAUGUUAAUGGAAUAAGAGAAGGCAUAAUCUACGAGAAGCCGUUGAUGAUGGGAGAAAAUGGGAGAAAGCAUGAUGACAACGAUGAGCUAUCUUCAUCCUUGUUUCCCCUAGAUUUGACGGAUGAGAUGAACUUGGCCAUGAAAGCCUGCAUAGCCUCGGGCGAUCGCGACACCACCAAAGAUCUCAAGAGGCUCGGCCUAGAAAGGGCUGCAUACUAUGGAUGGUACAACGCGUAUCAUAUGACUAAGGCAAUGGGAGAAAUGGUCCUCAACGAGACGAGGCAAGACGUCCCACUGCUUAUUCUGAGGCCAUCCGUCGUCGAGAGCUGCUACAAAGAACCUGUUCCCGGAUGGAUACAAGGAAAUAGAAUGUAUGAUCCGGUGAUAAUUUCUUAUGGGAAAGGACAACUUCCUGCUUAUCUGGCUGAUCCUAACCUGCAUACCGACAUUGUUCCAGUAGAUAUGGUGGCGAAUACGACGAUUGCAGCUAUUGCUAAGCACGGAAUUGUGAGAAAGGCAGGAGUGAACGUGUACCAUGUGGCAACUGACUUCGUGAACCCUCUAAGAUUUAAUGAAAUGUUCGAAUAUAUUUAUGAGCAUUUUCGUGCAAAUCCUUUAGUCGAAUCGGAAAAUAUGGUGAAAAUGAGGUUGUUCGACCAAUUUAGUAACUUGUCCACAUACAUAAGAGAUCACGUAUCCGAGCGAAAUACAGUAGUUGGUGUGGAAUCAAAGACUCGAAAACAUAACAAAGCGAGGGUUGCUUAUGCCGAGCAACUUUGCAAGAUGUACGAGUUCAUAGGAUUCUUCAAAGCCAGAUUCCACACUGGUAACACUCGUGCGCUGUUGGAGGAGAUGUCGGAAGAGGAGCGAGCUGUGUUCGAAGUGGAUGCCACAAAGAUAGACUGGAAGAAGUAUUUUGUCGAUAUUCACAUUCCCGGUUUGAGAAAGCAUGUUGUCAACGCCACGAGGCUGGCUGGAGUCUAACUAGAUUAAUUUUUAUAUUCUCAUGUUACAUUUCGUUUUUUAAUUUAUUUGUAUAUAAUGUCUGUAUUAUAUGAUGUCUUCUGAGGUAAUAGAAGUAUAAUUAAUGUAGGAAUACAAAAUCACUGUGAUAUAUUAUUUAUAAAUA